UAAAACAAAAAAAGACAAUGAAAACAAUGUUCAUAAAUACAUAUUGGUGGUGGCACCCGUUGAUACUCCGACAGUCGUAGGGAGCAGUGCUCGUAUGUAUAUAUGUGAUAUAUAAUAGAAAUAAGAAAGAGCCCUGUC
Molecule: non-coding RNA, 138 nt
Filed under: uncultured Bacteroides sp.
Lineage: Bacteria; Pseudomonadati; Bacteroidota; Bacteroidia; Bacteroidales; Bacteroidaceae
Description: Bacteroidete tryptophan peptide leader RNA
Rfam family: Bacteroidete tryptophan peptide leader RNA
Source: RNAcentral